UCUGUAGCAGCUAGAUGGCAGUUAAGUGUUCGGCUGCUAACUGAAAGAUUGGUGGUUCAAACCCACCCAGCAGCU
Molecule: transfer RNA, 75 nt
Filed under: Loxodonta africana (African savanna elephant)
Lineage: Eukaryota; Metazoa; Chordata; Mammalia; Proboscidea; Elephantidae
Rfam family: tRNA
About the family: Transfer RNA (tRNA) molecules are approximately 80 nucleotides in length. Their secondary structure includes four short double-helical elements and three loops (D, anti-codon, and T loops).
Source: Rfam by way of RNAcentral